GCGUGCCUAACACAUGCAAGUUGAGCGAUUUACUUCGGUAAAGAGCGGCGGACGGGUGAGUAACGCGUGGGUAACCUACCCUGUACACACGGAUAACAUACCGAAAGGUAUGCUAAUACGGGAUAAUGUAUUUGAGAGGCAUCUCUUGAAUAUCAAAGGUGAGCCAGUACAGGAUGGACCCGCGUCUGAUUAGCUAGUUGGUAAGGUAACGGCUUACCAAGGCGACGAUCAGUAGCCGACCUG
RNAcentral lists this ribosomal RNA (243 nucleotides) under Clostridioides difficile. Its description in RNAcentral is "partial 16S ribosomal RNA". It matches the Rfam family "Bacterial small subunit ribosomal RNA", at positions 42 to 294 of the family's 1533-position model. The record is from RNAcentral. Lineage: Bacteria; Bacillati; Bacillota; Clostridia; Peptostreptococcales; Peptostreptococcaceae.